RNAcentral lists this ribosomal RNA (253 nucleotides) under uncultured bacterium. RNAcentral describes it as "partial 16S ribosomal RNA". It matches the Rfam family "Bacterial small subunit ribosomal RNA", at positions 524 to 776 of the family's 1533-position model. The record is from RNAcentral.
UACAGAGGGGGCAAGCGUUGUUCGGAAUUACUGGGCGUAAAGGGCGCGUAGGCGGCCUGUUAAGUCGAACGUGAAAUCCCCGGGCUCAACCCGGGAACUGCGUCCGAUACUGGCAGGCUUGAAUCCGGGAGAGGGAUGCGGAAUUCCAGGUGUAGCGGUGAAAUGCGUAGAUAUCUGGAGGAAUACCGGUGGCGAAGGCGGCAUCCUGGACCGAGAUUGACGCUGAUGAGCGAAAGCUAGGGGAGCAAACGGG